CACGGGUGAGUAACGCGUACACUACCUACCUUUAACAGAGGGAUAGCCCUGGGAAACUGGGAUUAAUACCACAUAGUAUUGCAUAAUUUAUUUUUAUGCAAUUAAAGCUCCGGCGGUUAAAGAUGGGUGUGCGUUAGAUUAGCUAGUUGGUAAGGUAAUGGCUUACCAAGGCUACGAUCUAUAGGGGGCGUGAGAGCGUGGACCCCCACACGGGUACUGAGACACGGACCCGACUCCUACGGGAGGCAGCAGUAAGGAAUAUUGGACAAUGGGCGCAAGCCUGAUCCAGCCAUCCCGCGUGAAGGAUGACGGCCCUAUGGGUUGU
RNAcentral lists this ribosomal RNA (325 nucleotides) under uncultured bacterium. RNAcentral's name for it is "bacterial SSU rRNA". It matches the Rfam family "Bacterial small subunit ribosomal RNA", at positions 100 to 426 of the family's 1533-position model. The record is from RNAcentral.